RNAcentral lists this long non-coding RNA (326 nucleotides) under Manihot esculenta (cassava). RNAcentral's name for it is "long non-coding RNA (MESC_LNC001237)". The record is from RNAcentral. Lineage: Eukaryota; Viridiplantae; Streptophyta; Magnoliopsida; Malpighiales; Euphorbiaceae.
CCUGACAUCCCUUCCUAAGCAACCUACGAGCCUGAAGAGCUGAUAUCAGACCUCUAGGUGUACCCCUCUUGUCUCCUCUGAAGACGACCUCUGACCCGUUUUGAUCUCUGAACCUGACUACCUUGUCUCUGCAGUCCAAGGUAGCACCAUGGGUAGAUAGCCAAUCCAUCCCUAGAAUGACGUCAAAAUCUGUCAAAUCUAAAACCACAAGGUCGGCGGAGAGGCAUCUUCCCUCAACAAAAACUGGACUGUACUGGCAGACUGACUUUGCCACUGACGGGUCACACUUGGGUCCACUGACCCAUAGGGGACACUCUAACCCAGAG